RNAcentral lists this ribosomal RNA (274 nucleotides) under uncultured bacterium. Its description in RNAcentral is "partial 16S ribosomal RNA". It matches the Rfam family "Bacterial small subunit ribosomal RNA", at positions 523 to 796 of the family's 1533-position model. The record is from RNAcentral.
AUACAGGGGGUCCAAGCGUUGUUCGGAAUCACUGGGCGUAAAGCGCGUGUAGGCGGCUGUAUAAGUCGAAUGUGAAAUCCCUCAGCUCAACUGAGGACGUGCAUUCGAAACUGUAUAGCUAGAGUAUCGGAGGGGGUGGUGGAAUUCCUAGUGUAGAGGUGAAAUUCGUAGAUAUUAGGAGGAACACCUGUGGCGAAGGCGACCACCUGGACGAUAACUGACGCUGAGACGCGAAAGCGUGGGUAGCAAACAGGAUUAGAUACCCUAGUAGUCC